UACGUAGGUGGCAAGCGUUGUCCGGAUUUAUUGGGCGUAAAGCGAGCGCAGGCGGUUCCUUAAGUCUGAUGUGAAAGCCCACGGCUCAACCGUGGAGGGUCAUUGGAAACUGGAAAACUUGAGUGCAGAAGAGGAAAGUGGAAUUCCAUGUGUAGCGGUGAAAUGCGCAGAGAUAUGGAGGAACACCAGUGGCGAAGGCGGCCCCCUGGACGAAGACUGACGCUCAGGUGCGAAAGCGUGGGGAGCAAACAGG
RNAcentral lists this ribosomal RNA (253 nucleotides) under uncultured bacterium. RNAcentral's name for it is "partial 16S ribosomal RNA". It matches the Rfam family "Bacterial small subunit ribosomal RNA", at positions 524 to 776 of the family's 1533-position model. The record is from RNAcentral.